This 629-nucleotide small RNA is filed under the name Histoplasma capsulatum. Its description in RNAcentral is "hypothetical RNA". The record is from RNAcentral. Lineage: Eukaryota; Fungi; Ascomycota; Eurotiomycetes; Onygenales; Ajellomycetaceae. RNAcentral also lists the same sequence under 1 other name.
ACUGCGUACAACUCAAGACAACCAGAGACAACACCUAUGGGAUACCAUUGACGGUGCACCCGAUAAUUGGCCGAGCCAGCGGUGGCUAUCGCUGGAAAGGACUGGCGGACUUGUUCUCAGGCAUUAUCCGAUCAGAACCACCAAAUUCGCGACUUCACACGCAAUUGUGGCAACGAGUUUCUACGCUUGGGGUUUAACGUUCUCACUCACUGUACGCAGUAUGCUUAACUUACCCCCUUGGCCGUCUGGAGUACGUUUGCCCAUUACCCACGCGCUUUUGGCGUUAUAGUUAGCACUGGGUGAAUAGGGGCAAGGGAGGCAAGGAAUCAUCAACUGGUUUCCACCAAUGGCGACCCAUGUCCAUGAGAAUCCGCCACUCAAGGACAUGCAUGCCACAGAGUUUGGAGGUGAUGCAGCUCUUGUGUAUCAUGCAUAUAUAUACAGAUCUGUAUGUAUAUAUAUAUCUCUCUCUCUUGAGGAAUAGGUGGCUACCUUAAGGAUUUAUCCUUUUUGGCGUAGUGGUAAAACCUUCCUACAAGAUUGCAGUUCUGUCAUCCUGUCUAGAUGCAGAUUUGAUAUCUGGGAAUUGAAAAGAGGCACUACCACGGUUCACUUUAUAUAAGUCGAAC